Long non-coding RNA from Ictalurus punctatus (channel catfish), 2707 nucleotides. RefSeq lists it as uncharacterized. The record is from RefSeq and is a predicted model, not a curated record. Lineage: Eukaryota; Metazoa; Chordata; Actinopteri; Siluriformes; Ictaluridae. The transcript has 4 exons.
AGACACAACCUGACUUCAUCUCACGACAGCUGUGAUUCCUCAUAUGGUUUUGCUAAAAUAGAAGUUCCGGUCGUGUUUUUUGUUUUGUGCCGUGUGUUUUGAAGCCCUGAGUGUGUGAGUAAUGACCUGCGCUUUAUGUCCCAUGGUUUUCUACAUUUGCUUCACUAAGAAUAGCUCGACUCAUGCAGGGAACACUUUACACAGCUGGUGUUGUGAAUGCUGCGCGCUGCUUGUUUACUGGUACAACCUGCUGAUUUGCAUCUGUUCAAGUGCUAGCAGCCAAAGUGUUUCUGAGUGUAGAAACACAUAUGAAGACGCCGAUAAGAAGCUCACGGGUUGAAUCAGGUGUGAGAUUGCAGGGAAAACACUGCAGGCGUUUCUCAGGACUGGCACUGAGAACGAUUAUCCUACAGGCCAAUGUGGUGGGAAGCGGAUUAUGUGUCUUGACUGAGCGUCUAGUUUGACUGACUUGAGUGAAGACGAGACGUGUGCAAAUAUCCGAGAAGAAACAGCUAGACCUGAGGACUGUAGGAGUUUGAGGUUGAGGAUAGACAGCUCGAUCUUCUCAGGAGAGGAGAAUGAAUUGACCUGCAACAACAAAAGCUAAGACCUGAAUAAGGUUUUAACAUGUACAGUAAUUCAUUGUGGAAGAUUGCAAGUAACAUUAUAAUUUGUAUAUUCAGUUUCAGUGUCUUCUGAAAAAGGAAACAAAAGAGAAGCAAUGAUUUUUAAACUUCCACACCGAUCAUAUGUAUCGGCUGAUCAUUAAGGUACAUUGCUCACCUUUAUUAUAACAGAAGCCUCGUAUUACAAGCCCGACUACAGUGACGAUGAAAACGCAGCCUAGUGUAAUCCAAACAUAAAGUCUGAAGGGUUUCUCUUCUUUACCUACAAGUAAGAAAAUGUAAAUGUGGUCAGUCUAAGACACAGAAAGAAAAUGUCUACUGUACAACAGUUCUUCCAGGGGAAAAAAAACCACACAAAUAUAGCAGCUGUACAAUUUACCUGAACAUAUUAUUAAAUGAAUAUAACAUAAUAAACAAACUGGACAACAUCUAACAUCAUAUCCCUGGGAAAAGAGAAAUAAUAUGAUAUCAAUGUAUUGUUACGCCAUGGCGAACUCGAGGCUGCAGUUCUCAGCAUACAGUGCCGCCUACAAACAUGACGGACGAGGACUACACUUCCCAGCCAUGCCCGCGCUUGAGUUCGCCGGAGUAUUGAGUACGAACACCUGUGCUGCAUCAUAAGUUAUAAAAGGCCUCGUUAACUUCAGCGUCUCGUGAAGUAAACACUCAGCAGCCUCGUCUCUGUUGUGUACCGAGCAUUAAUUUCCGUAUCCGCUAAACUGGUUCUGAUAUUUGCAUUGUUUGUUGACUACGAUUCUGCCUAAGCCUAGUACUGCCCGUUUGCCCGAUCGCCUGACUUUGAUUCCCUUCCGUACUUCGUCUUUCGUCUGACCCUGAUUCCCUUCCGUACUUCGUCUUUCGUCUGACCUUGAUUCCCUUCCGUACUUCGUCUUUCGUCUGACCCUGAUUCCCUUCCGUACUUCGUCUUUCGUCUGACCCAUGCACUCUAGACUGUUCGUCCACGCUGGUCCCACCUGGCCCUAGAUUUCAUAACGGACUUGCAGGAGUCAAAAGGUAAUACUGUGAUACUGGUGAUUGUUUAUCAGUUUUCGAAAUCCAUCGCCUAAUUCCACUACUGGCCAUCCCAUCUGCCUUUACCACAGCCGAACUACUUUUCCAACAUGUGUUUAGAUACUUCGGCAUCCCAGAAGAGAUUGUGAGUGACAGGGGUCCACAGUUCACGUCUCGCAUCUGGGCCAGUUCCAUUUUGAAGAUGGGGGUCACCGUUAAUCUCACUUCCGGUACCACACCCAGGACAACGCACAGGCAGAACGGGCCAAACAAGAGGUCAUACGGUUCCUCCGAACCUUCUGCGCCACCAAUCCAGGGGACUGGGGCCACUUCCUACUGUGGGCGGAAUAUGCACAGAACUCGCUACGGCAUUCCGCCACCAAGCUCACCCCAUUUCAGUGUGUCUUGGGCUACCAGUCGCCAUUGUUCCCCUGGAACGCCUCCCCCACUGACUCACCAGAGGUAGAUGAGUGGUUCCGCCGGAGUGAACAGGUCUGGGAACGCGCCUACCAACAGCUAGUGCAGGCCUUCCGCACCGCCAAACGAAAGGCAGACCGGCGCCGGAGGGAUCACCCCAAUUAUCAACCCGGUGACAGGGUGUGGCUUUCCACAGAGAUCUAAAGUCACCCCUCCCGGUGACUUUAGACUCCAACCUAAAUAUAUCGGCCCCUUCCGAGUCUUGAAGCAAAUUAACAAAGACAUGUACUGCCUGGACCUAGCAAAGCAAAGCCGCAUCGCCCCGUCUUUCCAUGUCUCUCUCCUCAAAGCAGUGAUACCAGGCCCCUUGACCACGGCGGUGCCGGAAGACUCCCCAGCGGAAACGCUAGAGAUCAAGGGCCGCCCAGCCUACCGCAGUGCUGGAUCCCAUCCAUUGGAAUAAACAUGUGAUAAUAUUCCUAAAGAGCAAAUGAAUUGUGGAAAUAUUGUUAUUUAAGACCUAAUUGAUGUGUAAAUGUGUAACUUCAUACCCCAGGUGACUGUAAUAUUUCCCUCUAGGCUGCUGUGAUGCACUACACAGCUGUAGCGCUGAUCUCCUGUGUUCUCCUCAGGUCUGAUCACACUGCUUCUGG